UUUUUUUUCAGGAGCUCUGAUUCCAAAAGAAAAAAUGGAUAAAGUUGAAGGAAGGGAUUUUUUCCCCCCUUCUUGUGCCUGGAAGAGUACUCACUUGUGGUUUUCUUUUCUUGUAGGGGAGCUGGUGCCAGAAAGAAGUUGGAAAUGUCACCCCCUCUGCCUUGUAUCAUCGGGACAAACAUCAUCCUGGAGAGAAGUGGAUUGGAGGCCCCUCAGAGCCCGGCACGGUGUGAACCGCUGGCUUUUGCUCAUGACCGGGAAUUACAACGCUCUCAUUUUCGGCACAGGUGAGGUCGCCUUAGCGCAUCUGCGAGGAGCGUGCUCUCGAAGGGUUGCAGCCACAGGAAAUAAUGACCACCUGCAGCUGACACAGGAUUUCCCGCGAUCCCUUUGCCUCCCUGCUGUCCGAGGCCUCUGCGCUGGGAAUGCGACGGACCGGAGCUCCGCUGAGGCUUUUCGGGUUUUUUGGAUGAUUUUUAAAUUAUAUCUUCCCAUGAGAGGCAUGGGUUUUAUUAAAUUUUUAAACAGUACUUAGCUGUCUAAGUAACACAUGCUUAUAAAAAUAUUUAAACUGUCAGGGCACCUGGGUGGCUCAGUUGGUUAAGCAUCUGACUUCAGCUCCGGUCAUGAUCUUGCAGUUCAUGGGUUCGAGCCCUGUGAGGCUUUUAUGCUUUAGUCACUCAAGACGAUGAUAAGUAGUUCACUGUGUUUCAUAUCUUUAUAUAGAGCCUAUUUGUUAAACUACUUUUUGUUUUACCAACUUGUCUAGAAAGCUGGU
This 778-nucleotide long non-coding RNA is filed under the name Suricata suricatta (meerkat). RNAcentral describes it as "lncRNA (ENSSSUG00005013457.1)". The record is from RNAcentral. Lineage: Eukaryota; Metazoa; Chordata; Mammalia; Carnivora; Herpestidae.